CUUGGGACACAUUCCUAAAAUGUUGUCCCCGACUGGUAACACCUGGAGUGCUCCCAAGGAGUUUUCUGUUUAUGGAAUGAGGGAGCCUGAACAGGAAUGGACUCACCUGGGAACCUUUCUGUAUGAAAAGGACCAAAAUCCGCUUCAGACCUUUGCGCUACAGAGCCACAGAGGAGCGGCUUUUAGGUCCAUAAAGUUACAGAUCAGCAGCAAAUGGGGCCAUCGGCAGUAUACCUGUCUCUAUAAUUUCAGAGUUCACGGAAAGAUUG
Long non-coding RNA from Gambusia affinis (western mosquitofish), 269 nucleotides. RefSeq lists it as uncharacterized. The transcript has 3 exons. The record is from RefSeq and is a predicted model, not a curated record. Lineage: Eukaryota; Metazoa; Chordata; Actinopteri; Cyprinodontiformes; Poeciliidae.